ACAAUUUUUGCCUAGUCAUAGGGUUGUCUCCAGUCAAAAGUCUCCAGUUUAGGGGCACGUAGAUAAAAGGUUUAGGGGGUCUACUUAUAGGGUCCGAUGGUAUGAACUUUAUAGGAAAGGUAGCAACUGUAGUUUUCCAACUUAUUUUAGCAGUGGAUUCCUUUCUUUACCCUAAAAUCUAGGUGGUGAAGCACAAGAGCACAACUUUGUGUGAGCCGUGGAGCAAUGGUUAUCAAGUGCGAGCCAUGGGUUUGAGUCUCCUACUCAUGGGUGUACAUAGGAUUCUGGGCAAGUCAUGUCUUCUCAAACUCAGUAGGUGUAAAGAGCAUAGGUGUAUUGUGUACUUGCAGAGUCAUUUGUAAGUAUCGAAUGCUAUGACGCUGCAGGGAUGAGAGAGGUUCUUCUCUUGAAUUCACAGCUGUAUCACCUAAUUCAUAGUUGGGGGGAUGCUGUCUGGUGGCUCUUAGUCACUGCUGGCAACUGGCAGAGUCCUACAAGAGUGUCUUUACUUCUGAGAUGAUUUUAGUUCCUGGAGAUUCCCUGUGACUUUUUUUUUUCUAAGUCAACAUGCCAUUAUGCUCCUUCAUUCAUUCCAUAAAUUCAUUCAUCCUAUAUAGUUCAUUCAUAUUAGGGACUUCAAUUGAACACUUGCUAUGUGUAAGUUACUGGGUGGAAUCUAGGGGUUGGACCAUGAGUAAGAUACAUUCACUGCCUUCGAAGAGUUUAUUGUCCAGUGUGAGAGGCACAAAUAUGUGUGCAGAUAUAUCUACACACAUAAACACAUAAUACAUCUAUACAUAUGUAAUACUUACAAUACAAAGGAGGCUGAUAUAUGUUUAACGAAGAGAUGAGUUACAAACUGUGAAGGCUGAGUAUUGGAGGAGUAAGAUGAGGAUUCUAAUAGGUGGAAAAGUUUAGUCAGGUGCAGUCCAGACAGCAAAAGAAAGGAAUCAUGAAAUAGAUAGUCUCUGUGGUUAAUAAAAUUGUGUAGUAUAUUUGGGCAUUAAUGAGCAAUCUUGUGACUGAGCAGGUGGUACUAGAGUAUGAAAAAAGCAGAAAAUGGAUGGAUUGAGCCUCCAAGAAGAUGUCUGUGUCUCCCGCCUAUGCCCAUUGCUAAGGUUUCUUGUGAGUUUGUAUGAAGCCUCAGAAUCCUUCUCAACACAAUUCUCCAAAAAGUCACCACUGAUCUGUUGGGGUUGGCACUUGACAUAAAACCGUUUGUACUUCCUUGCUUAGGCCUUAAACCCCAUGCCUACAUAUUUGUAUUUUAUUUGGUUGUUUUUGGGGGGAGUUAAUGCAUGUUUUAAAGAAUCAGGAUGAUAUGAGUGAAUGAUGACUGAACCUGUGUUUGUGUAAGGUAGGCGGUGGCCAUGGGAAGCAUGCAUGGGGAAGGUGAGAUCCUGGAAACAGAGAGGCCAGUAGAAGACUACACAAAUCACCUGGUACAGUGUGGGUGGGAAGGAGAGAGGGGGUUGCACAGUUAAGGCACUGGGGAGAUAGAAGAGGUCAUGACAGACAGGGAAAGAAGAAAUGACAAUAACUGAGAUUCUCACCUGGGCCCCCGAGAGGCAAGAGGGGCUGCUCUGGUCUGAAUGUGUCCUCCCUGAAGAUUUAUAUGCUGAAGUCCUGACCCUCCAAACUGAUGGUGUUAGGAGGUGGGGCCUUUGAGAGGUGAUUAGGGACAAGCAUGGAACCUCAUGACUGGGAUUACUGUCUUAUACAAGACCCCUCAGAGCUCCCUCACCCCUUCUGCCACGUGAGGCCACAACAGAAGCCUGACACCUAGAAGGGGCCUCACCCAUCUAUGUUGGUGACCUUGGGCUUUUUGCCUCCAGAACUAUGAGAAAUGUAUUUCUGUGGUUUACCCUGUCUGUGGUAUUUUGUUAUAACACCCUGAGCAGACUAAGACAGGGGCCAAGCAAAGGGGUAUAGGAAGAGCUUUUUACUUUUCUUUUUAAAAGGGAAGAUGAUACAUUAAGCUUCAGAUGGGCUGAAUUUGAGGCCUAUGGGACAGCUAUGGAGAGAAUUGCAGCCAUCGUUUGGAAAUACAUAUCUGGAGAUGUCAGUUGGGUUCCAGCAACUUGAUAUCACACCCACAAAUGUGUGGCUACCUGCAGUGUGAAGGACGCUGGAACUACGAGGCUGUGGUUUCUGGAAGUCCACUCUCCCUCUAGUGGUUGGCAUCUUUCAGGAGAGACCAGAGUGUGUUCAGCUCGGCUCAGCCUAAGCACCCUUGGAGAAGAGCUUAACUUCAUUUCCAAAGGCCUCCUUUUCAUGUAGGAAUUUUCAGCUUUCGGAGGAAAUCUAGAUGAGAAAUACCGAGUCUGAGAGAGGUAACUUGCCUGUGAUCGCACAGCCAGUGAAUGGUGAAGCUGAGAUGCCAGCUCAGUUGGCUUGGUGAUUGAUUAGUGACAACAAGCCCUGUCUCCUCGGGUCUGCCUUUCUCUCUCCAUCACCCCCAUCUGUCCUGUGUGUCUCUUGGCAAGGUGUGGUCUCUUCUCGUGGUCUUCUUUAUUCCUUCUCUUAGUGAAGCCUCUAUGUGUUUAAAACUUUCUUGAAUAUAAUAAAAUAUCUGACAUGCACUCAGAAAGUGGAGGCAGGAAAAUCAGCAAGAGAUAGAAAGAACAGAAACAGUGGAGGAACAGGUUGAUGAAUGGGCUUUUGAGGCUGGGUUGGAGCAGCCUGUCUGGAGGGGUGGAAGCCAGGCCCUCAUCACAUUUACCAACGACCACCGUGGGACUAACUCCCUGCCUCCAUCUUCACCCCUGACAGUCCAUCCACCCUCCACAUCUCCACAAGCCUUAUCUUUCCAAAACAGCACAGUCAUCAAUACUCUCCUGCUUCCUGCUGACACUGUCGACUCCUCCUCUCCCUUCAAUGCCAACUCACCCUUCCUGCCCCACACAGAGACUACUCUUCAGACUUGCAACUGGCCCCGCCCUACCUUUCCCAUUCCUUACCCACCAUUUCCCCACAUGAAGCUCAACCUGGCAGGUUCUCUCCGUCCCUGGAUGCUAAGCUUAUGAAACAUGAACUAGGAGUUUCUGGCAAUUAUUACUGCCAUCACUUACAGAGGGCCUGUCUAAAGAUGAAGCCACUGUGGAGGAAACCAGAGUGGAGGCAUUCUGCAUAACAUCUUUUAAGCACUUAGAUCCAACCACUGCUGUACCUGAAAGUCAGCAGAUUCUUUGUUUAGGUCGAUUUCUGUUGAGAAUCUGUAACUUGCAAGUAAAAGGGGUCUAACUAUUGCAGUGCUUCCUUCAGGAUCUACCUCCGUGAUUAUCUGCAAGUGAAUAGCAGCUCAAAGAACAGCCCUCUGGCAUCUGGCCUGAAGCUGUUUCCUCCCCUAACUGGCCUAGACUGAUUCCCAUUCCAGCUCAAGUUGUGCUGAGGGUCAGAUUAAAGUGAAUCAAUUGACACAUAGAUCAAUGGAACAGAAUAGAAUGCCCUGAAAUAAACCUACACUUAUAUGGUCAGUCAAUCUAUGACAAAGGAGGCAAGAAUAUACAAUGGGGGAAAAGUCAGUCUCUUCAAUAAAUGGUGUGGGGAAAACUGGACAGAUACACCCAAAAGAAUGAAACUGUCCCAUUUGAUUAUACCAUAAGCAAAAAUAAACUCAAAAUGGAUUAAAGAAGGCCUAACUGUAAGACUCCUAAAAAAAACAUGGGCCUUAGCAGUUUUUUUUUUGGAUAUAUCUCCCCAUGCAAGGGUAACAAAAGCAAAAACAAACAAAUGGAACUACAUCAAAG
Long non-coding RNA from Manis javanica (Malayan pangolin), 3749 nucleotides. RefSeq lists it as uncharacterized. NCBI's taxonomy places the organism in Eukaryota, Metazoa, Chordata, Mammalia, Pholidota, Manidae. The record is from RefSeq and is a predicted model, not a curated record.